RNAcentral lists this ribosomal RNA (1476 nucleotides) under metagenome. RNAcentral describes it as "bacterial SSU rRNA". It matches the Rfam family "Bacterial small subunit ribosomal RNA". The record is from RNAcentral.
AGAGUUUGAUCAUGGCUCAGGAUGAACGCUGGCGGCGUGCUUAACACAUGCAAGUCGAACGGGAAACCUUUUAUUGAAGCUUCGGCAGAUUUAGCUGGUUUCUAGUGGCGGACGGGUGAGUAACGCGUGGGUAACCUGCCUUAUACAGGGGGAUAACAACCAGAAAUGGUUGCUAAUACCGCAUAAGCGCACAGGACCGCAUGGUUCGGUGUGAAAAACUCCGGUGGUAUAAGAUGGACCCGCGUUGGAUUAGCUAGUUGGCAGGGUAACGGCCUACCAAGGCGACGAUCCAUAGCCGGCCUGAGAGGGUGAACGGCCACAUUGGGACUGAGACACGGCCCAGACUCCUACGGGAGGCAGCAGUGGGGAAUAUUGCACAAUGGGGGAAACCCUGAUGCAGCGACGCCGCGUGAAGGAAGAAGUAUCUCGGUAUGUAAACUUCUAUCAGCAGGGAAGAUAGUGACGGUACCUGACUAAGAAGCCCCGGCUAACUACGUGCCAGCAGCCGCGGUAAUACGUAGGGGGCAAGCGUUAUCCGGAUUUACUGGGUGUAAAGGGAGCGUAGACGGACUGGCAAGUCUGAUGUGAAAGGCGGGGGCUCAACCCCUGGACUGCAUUGGAAACUGUUAGUCUUGAGUGCCGGAGAGGUAAGCGGAAUUCCUAGUGUAGCGGUGAAAUGCUUAGAUAUCACGAAGAACUCCGAUUGCGAAGGCAGCUCACUGGAGCGCAACUGACGCUGAAGCUCGAAAGUGCGGGUAUCGAACAGGAUUAGAUACCCUGGUAGUCCGCACGGUAAACGAUGGAUGCCCGCUGUUGGUCUGAACAGGUCAGCGGCCAAGCGAAAGCAUUAAGCAUCCCACCUGGGGAGUACGCCGGCAACGGUGAAACUCAAAGGAAUUGACGGGGGCCCGCACAAGCGGAGGAACAUGUGGUUUAAUUCGAUGAUACGCGAGGAACCUUACCCGGGCUUGAAUUGCAGAGGAAGGAUUUGGAGACAAUGACGCCCUUCGGGGGCUCUGUGAAGGUGCUGCAUGGUUGUCGUCAGCUCGUGCCGUGAGGUGUCGGCUUAAGUGCCAUAACGAGCGCAACCCCUCUCCUUAGUUGCCAUCAGGUUAAGCUGGGCACUCUGGGGACACUGCCACCGUAAGGUGUGAGGAAGGUGGGGAUGACGUCAAAUCAGCACGGCCCUUACGUCCGGGGCUACACACGUGUUACAAUGGCAGGUACAGAGAGACGGUUGUACGUAAGUACGAUCAAAUCCUUAAAGCCUGUCUCAGUUCGGACUGGGGUCUGCAACCCGACCCCACGAAGCUGGAUUCGCUAGUAAUCGCGCAUCAGCCAUGGCGCGGUGAAUACGUUCCCGGGCCUUGUACGCACCGCCCGUCAAGCCAUGAAAGCCGGGGGCGCCUAAAGUCCGUGACCGUAAGGAGCGGCCUAGGGCGAAACUGGUAAUUGGGGCUAAGUCGUAACAAGGUA